This 62-nucleotide transfer RNA is filed under the name Menacanthus cornutus. RNAcentral describes it as "tRNA-Leu". The record is from RNAcentral. Lineage: Eukaryota; Metazoa; Arthropoda; Insecta; Psocodea; Menoponidae.
UCUAAUAUGGCAGAUUAGUGCGAUGAAUUUAAGAUUCAUAUAUGAGGCUCACUCUAUUAGAA